GACGAACGCUGGCGGCGUGCUUAACACAUGCAAGUCGAACGGUAAGGCCCUUCGGGGUACACGAGUGGCGUACGGGUGAGUAACACGUGGGUGAUCUGCCCUGCACUUCGGGAUAAGCCUGGGAAACUGGGUCUAAUACCGGAUAGGACCCUGGGAUGCAUGUCCUGGGGUGGAAAGCUUUUGCGGUGUGGGAUGGGCCCGCGGCCUAUCAGCUUGUUGGUGGGGUGAUGGCCUACCAAGGCGACGACGGGUAGCCGGCCUGAGAGGGUGACCGGCCACACUGGGCCUGAGAUACGGCCCAGACUCCUACGGGAGGCAACAGUGGGGAAUAUUGCACAAUGGGCGCAAGCCUGAUGCAGCGACGCCGCGUGAGGGAUGACGGCCUUCGGGUUGUAAACCUCUUUCAGCACCGACGAAGCGCAAGUGACGGUAGGUGCAGAAGAAGGACCGGCCAACUACGUGCCAGCAGCCGCCGUAA
This 478-nucleotide ribosomal RNA is filed under the name uncultured bacterium. Its description in RNAcentral is "partial 16S ribosomal RNA". It matches the Rfam family "Bacterial small subunit ribosomal RNA", at positions 28 to 523 of the family's 1533-position model. The record is from RNAcentral.